ACGCUCGACACCUACGGAGGCAGCAGUGAGGAAUAUUGGUCAAUGGGCGCUAGCCUGAACCAGCCAAGUAGCGUGAAGGAUGAAGGCUCUAUGGGUCGUAAACUUCUUUUAUAUAAGAAUAAAGUGCAGUAUGUAUACUGUUUUGUAUGUAUUAUAUGAAUAAGGAUCGGCUAACUCCGUGCCAGCAGCCGACGGUAAUCUGAGGCGGGCUCGGACGAACGGC
Molecule: ribosomal RNA, 223 nt
Filed under: uncultured bacterium
Lineage: Bacteria
Description: partial 16S ribosomal RNA
Rfam family: Bacterial small subunit ribosomal RNA
Source: RNAcentral